UAGUUUGAUCCUGGUCAGGAGAAAGAAGGGGGCGUGCUUAACACAUGCAGGUCGAACGGAGCGAUUUAUUUCGGUAAAUCGCUUAGUGGCAAACGGGUGAGUAACGCGUAGGCAACCUGCCCUCAGGAUGGGGACAACGGCUCGAAAGAACCGCUAAUACCGAAUGACGUAACUCUUCCACAUGGAAGAGAUACUAAAGAUGGGUCAAACCAUCGCCUAAGGAUGGGCCUGCGUCUGAUUAGCCAGUUGGUGAGGUAACGGCUCACCAAAGCGACGAUCAGUAGCCGGUCUGAGAGGAUGAACGGCCACAGUGGGACUGAGACACGGCCCAUACUCCUACGGGAGGCAGCAGUGGGGAAUCUUCCGCAAUGGGCGAAAGCCUGACGGAGCAACGCUGCGUGAGUGAAGAAGGUCUUCGGAUCGUAAAGCUCUGUUGUCGGGGACGAAAGAGUAGACGAGGAAAUGCGUCUACUAAGACGGUACCUGACGAGGAAGCCACGGCUAACUACGUGCCAGCAGCCGCGGUAAUACGUAGGCGGCAAGCGUUGUCCGGAAUUAUUGGGCGUAAAGGGAGCGCAGGUGGGACGGUAAGUCCGUCUUAAAAAGCAGGGGCUCAGCCCCUGUAAGGGAUGGAAACUAUCGAUCUUGAGUGCCGGAGAGGAAGGCGGAAUUCCCAGUGUAGCGGUGAAAUGCGUAGAUAUUGGGAAGAACACCAGUGGCGAAGGCGGCUUUCUGGACGGCAACUGACACUGAGGCUCGAAAGCCAGGGGAGCGAACGGGAUUAGAUACCCCGGUAGUCCUGCCCGUAAACGAUGGAUACUAGGUGUAGGAGGUAUCGACCCCUCCUUGUGCCUGAUUAACGCAAGUAAGU
RNAcentral lists this ribosomal RNA (871 nucleotides) under uncultured bacterium. Its description in RNAcentral is "bacterial SSU rRNA". It matches the Rfam family "Bacterial small subunit ribosomal RNA", at positions 9 to 865 of the family's 1533-position model. The record is from RNAcentral.